CAAUAGCGUAUAUUUAAGUUGUUGCAGUUAAAAAGCUCGUAGUUGGAUUUUGGGUCGGGGGCACCGGUCCGCCGUUCCGGUGUGCACUGGUGGCCCCUUCCUUUCUGCCGGGGACGUGCGUCGCACUUAAUUGGGUGGCGUUCGGAGUCGGCGUUGUUACUUUGAAAAAAUUAGAGUGUUCAAAGCAAGCCAUCGCUCUGAAUACAUUAGCAUGGAAUAACAUGAUAGGACUCCGGUCUUAUUUUGUUGGUUUCCGAGACUGGAGUAAUGAUUAAGAGGGACAGUCGGGGGCAUCCGUAUUUCAUUGUCAGAGGUGAAAUUCUUGGAUUUAUGAAAGACGAACUUCUGCGAAAGCAUUUGCCAAGGAUGGUUUCAUUAA
Molecule: ribosomal RNA, 379 nt
Filed under: uncultured eukaryote
Lineage: Eukaryota
Description: partial 18S ribosomal RNA
Rfam family: Eukaryotic small subunit ribosomal RNA
Source: RNAcentral